Non-coding RNA from Potamilus streckersoni, 100 nucleotides. The record is from the annotation of a GenBank genome assembly. NCBI's taxonomy places the organism in Eukaryota, Metazoa, Mollusca, Bivalvia, Unionida, Unionidae.
GCCAUUGUAACUCAGUUGGUAAAGUGUUGGAUUCAUAAUCCAAGGGUCAUGGGUUCAAUAAGCAACAAAGUCAGUUUGAGUCAGUCUUCCAUUCUUGGCA